RNAcentral lists this ribosomal RNA (497 nucleotides) under uncultured bacterium. RNAcentral's name for it is "partial 16S ribosomal RNA". It matches the Rfam family "Bacterial small subunit ribosomal RNA", at positions 28 to 507 of the family's 1533-position model. The record is from RNAcentral.
GACGAACGCUGGCGGCGUGCCUAAUACAUGCAAGUUGAGCGAUGAAGAUUGGUGCUUGCCCCAAUUUGAAGAGCAGCGAACGGGUGAGUAACGCGUGGGGAAUCUGCCUUUGAGCGGGGGACAACAUUUGGAAACGAAUGCUAAUACCGCAUAACAACUUUAAACAUAAGUUUUAAGUUUGAAAGAUGCAAUUGCAUCACUCAAAGAUGAUCCCGCGUUGUAUUAGCUAGUUGGUGAGGUAAAGGCUCACCAAGGCGAUGAUACAUAGCCGACCUGAGAGGGUGAUCGGCCACAUUGGGACUGAGACACGGCCCAAACUCCUACGGGAGGCAGCAGUAGGGAAUCUUCGGCAAUGGACGAAAGUCAGACCGAGCAACGCCGCGGGAGGGAAGAAGGGUUUCGGAUCGUAAAACUCUGUUGGUAGAGAAGAACGUUGGUGAGAGUGGAAAGCUCAUCAAGUGACGGUAACUACCCAGAAAGGGACGGCUAACUACGUG